GGCUCAUAUAUUAAGAUGAAGCUCAUAAAUGGCCACAGCAGCCAGUUAGCAUAGACUGGAGGCAGAAUCCUUAUGAAAUAAGCUCAUUUAAAAAUUUUUGCUAUUAUUGACCUUUUUUGCCAUGCUCUAUUCUCUUUUAAAAUAUUAUACUUGUGGAUAUUAUGAAUGUCUCUAGUGUGCUCAAUAGCAAGUGGCAAAUCUCAGUUUUCUAACCAAUGAAGCAUAUAUUUUCUCCCCCAGAAUAGAAAAGGAAGUAGGAUAGGAAUUGGAAGUAUUGCUCUAUGACACAUUAAGGACCUAAAAGAAAGAAUUUGACUAUUGAAUUCAGUAGUCUAAAUGGCUUCAGAAUAAGCCUAGCAUAUAUUGAAUUACUGUAAGAGAUCAAUAGCAAAUGUAUAAUGGAGAUUACAUUAUUCAGUAACCCAUGUUACAUCAAUAUCUACAAAGGAGUUAGACAAGGGUAAUACAAUAUUUCCAAUUUUGUUGCAGGUCAAGAAUCAUUCUUUAACAGAAUCAACUGAAAACAUGAAGUCAGCAAAGAUGGUGAAGAUUACUGAAUGAUCAAUGAAGUUCUUCUAAUCUUUUAUUCAAUUUCAUGUUCUAUGAAUAAAUUGCUAAAAUU
This 622-nucleotide long non-coding RNA is filed under the name Monodelphis domestica (gray short-tailed opossum). RNAcentral describes it as "lncRNA (ENSMODG00000050506.1)". Lineage: Eukaryota; Metazoa; Chordata; Mammalia; Didelphimorphia; Didelphidae. The record is from RNAcentral.